RNAcentral lists this ribosomal RNA (56 nucleotides) under Pyramidobacter sp. CG50-2. RNAcentral's name for it is "partial 23S ribosomal RNA". Lineage: Bacteria; Thermotogati; Synergistota; Synergistia; Synergistales; Dethiosulfovibrionaceae. The record is from RNAcentral.
AGGUUAAGGUAGAAAGGGCAUACGACGGAUGCCUAGGCACUUACAGCCGACGAAAG